CGUAGGGUGCGAGCGUUAAUCGGAAUUACUGGGCGUAAAGCGUGCGCAGGCGGUAAUGCAAGACAGAUGCGAAAUCCCCGGGCUUAACCUGGGAACUGCAUUUGUGACUGCAUUGCUGGAGUGCGGCAGAGGGGGAUGGAAUUCCGCGUGUAGCAGUGAAAUGCGUAGAUAUGCGGAGGAACACCGAUGGCGAAGGCAAUCCCCUGGGCCUGCACUGACGCUCAUGCACGAAAGCGUGGGGAGCAAACAGGAUUAGAUACCCUGGUAGUCCACGCCCUAAACGAUGUCAACUGGUUGUUGGGUCUUAACUGACUCAGUAACGAAGCUAACGCGUGAAGUUGACCGCCUGGGGAGUACGGCCGCAAGGUUG
This 370-nucleotide ribosomal RNA is filed under the name uncultured organism. RNAcentral describes it as "bacterial SSU rRNA". It matches the Rfam family "Bacterial small subunit ribosomal RNA", at positions 526 to 896 of the family's 1533-position model. The record is from RNAcentral.